GACGAACGCUGGCGGCGUGCUUAACACAUGCAAGUCGAACGGUGAAGCGCCUUCCUUUUUGGUGGGUGUGGAUGAGUGGCGAACGGGUGAGUAACACGUGAGUAACCUGCCCCCUUCUUCUGCAUAACCGCAUGAAAGCGUGGCUAAUACGGGAUAUUCUGGGUCUGUCGCAUGAUGGGUCUGGGAAGGAUGUUGUUUCGGUGCGGGAUGGGCUCGCGGCCUGUCUGCUUGUUGGUGGGGUGAUGGCCUACGAAGGCGGUGAGGGGUAGCCGGCCUGAGCGGGUGGCCGGCCACAGAGGGAGUGCGGCACGGUCGGGACUGCUACGCGGGGCAGCAGCGGGGAAUAUUGAGCAGUGGGGGAAAGCGUGAUGCAGCGACGCCGCGGGAGGGAUGGAGGCCUGCGGGUUGUGAACCUCUUUCGCCAGUGAAGCAGGCUUGCCUGGUUUGUGGGUGGGUUGACGGUAGCUGGAUAAGAAGCGCCGGCUAACUACGUG
Molecule: ribosomal RNA, 494 nt
Filed under: uncultured bacterium
Lineage: Bacteria
Description: partial 16S ribosomal RNA
Rfam family: Bacterial small subunit ribosomal RNA
Source: RNAcentral